RNAcentral lists this ribosomal RNA (207 nucleotides) under uncultured bacterium. RNAcentral describes it as "partial 16S ribosomal RNA". It matches the Rfam family "Bacterial small subunit ribosomal RNA", at positions 568 to 774 of the family's 1533-position model. The record is from RNAcentral.
CGCGUAGGCGGUCCGGUAAGUCCGCUCUGAAAGUCCGGGGCUCAACCCCGGGAGGCGGGCGGAUACUGUCGGGCUAGAGUCCGGAAGAGGCGAGUGGAAUUCCUGGUGUAGCGGUGAAAUGCGCAGAUAUCAGGAGGAACACCGAUGGCGAAGGCAGCUCGCUGGGACGGUACUGACGCUGAGGCGCGAAAGCGUGGGGAGCAAACA